CUUCACACGUAAUACAAUGGUCGGUACAGGAGGGUUGCCCAACCCGCGAGGGGGAGCCAAUCCCCAAACGGCCUCUCAGUUCGGGUAGUAGUCUGCAACUCGACUACUUGAAGUCGGAAUCGCUAGUAAUGGCGGAUCAGCAUGCCGCCGUGAAUACGUUCCCGGGUCUU
RNAcentral lists this ribosomal RNA (170 nucleotides) under uncultured bacterium. RNAcentral describes it as "partial 16S ribosomal RNA". It matches the Rfam family "Bacterial small subunit ribosomal RNA", at positions 1214 to 1382 of the family's 1533-position model. The record is from RNAcentral.